GACGAACGCUGGCGGCGUGCUUAACACAUGCGAGUCGAACGGAAAGGCCCUGCUUUUGUGGGGUGCUUGAGUGGCGAACGGGUGAGUAACACGUGAGUAACCUGCCCUUGACUUUGGGAUAACUUCAGGAAACUGGGGCUAAUACCGGAUAGGAGCUCCUGCUGCAUGGUGGGGGUUGGAAAGUUUCGGCGGUUGGGGAUGGACUCGCGGCUUAUCAGCUUGUUGGUGGGGUAGUGGCUUACCAAGGCUUUGACGGGUAGCCGGCCUGAGAGGGUGACCGGCCACAUUGGGACUGAGAUACGGCCCAGACUCCUACGGGAGGCAGCAGUGGGGAAUAUUGCACAAUGGGCGGAAGCCUGAUGCAGCAACGCCGCGUGCGGGAUGACGGCCUUCGGGUUGUAAACCGCUUUCGCCUGUGACGAAGCGUGAGUGACGGUAAUGGGUAAAGAAGCACCGGCUAACUACGUG
Molecule: ribosomal RNA, 468 nt
Filed under: uncultured bacterium
Lineage: Bacteria
Description: partial 16S ribosomal RNA
Rfam family: Bacterial small subunit ribosomal RNA
Source: RNAcentral